RNAcentral lists this ribosomal RNA (1985 nucleotides) under soil metagenome. RNAcentral's name for it is "bacterial LSU rRNA". It matches the Rfam family "Bacterial large subunit ribosomal RNA", at positions 3 to 1977 of the family's 2925-position model. The record is from RNAcentral.
UUAAGUUAGAAAGGGCGCACGGUGAAUGCCUUGGCACUAGGAGCCGAUGAAGGACGGGACUAACACCGAUAUGCUUCGGGGAGCUGUAAGUAAGCUUUGAUCCGGAGAUUUCCGAAUGGGGGAACCCACUGUUCGUAAUGGAACAGUAUCUUUACCUGAAUACAUAGGGUAUGGAAGGCAUACCCGGGGAACUGAAACAUCUAAGUACCCGGAGGAAGAGAAAGCAAACGCGAUUCCCUGAGUAGCGGCGAGCGAAACGGGACAUAGCCCAAACCAAGAGGCUUGCCUCUUGGGGUUGUAGGACACUCAACAUGGAGUUACAAAGGAACGGGGUAGAUGAAGCGACCUGGAAAGGUCCGUCAUAGAAGGUAAAAACCCUGUAGUCGAAACUUCGUUCCCUCCUGAGUGGAUCCUGAGUACGGCCGGACACGAGAAAUCCGGUCGGAAGCAGGGAGGACCAUCUCCCAAGGCUAAAUACUCCCUAGUGACCGAUAGUGAACCAGUACCGUGAGGGAAAGGUGAAAAGCACCCCGGAAGGGGAGUGAAAUAGUUCCUGAAACCGUGUGCCUACAAGUAGUUAGAGCCCGUUAAUGGGUAAUAGCGUGCCUUUUGUAGAAUGAACCGGCGAGUUACGAUCCCAUGCAAGGUUAAGUUGAAAAGACGGAGCCGCAGCGAAAGCGAGUCUGAAUAGGGCGUAUGAGUAUGUGGUCGUAGACCCGAAACCAGGUGAUCUACCCAUGUCCAGGGUGAAGUCCAGGUAACACUGGAUGGAGGCCCGAACCCACGCACGUUGAAAAGUGCGGGGAUGAGGUGUGGGUAGCGGAGAAAUUCCAAUCGAACUUGGAGAUAGCUGGUUCUCUCCGAAAUAGCUUUAGGGCUAGCCUCACGUAGUAAGAGUCUUGGAGGUAGAGCACUGUUUGGACUAGGGGCCCUCAUCGGGUUACCGAAUUCAGACAAACUCCGAAUGCCAAAGACUUAUCCGUGGGAGUCAGACUGCGAGUGAUAAGAUCCGUAGUCAAAAGGGAAACAGCCCAGACCACCAGCUAAGGUCCCAAAGUAUACGUUAAGUGGAAAAGGAUGUGGAGUUGUUUAGACAACCAGGAUGUUGGCUUAGAAGCAGCCACCAUUUAAAGAGUGCGUAAUAGCUCACUGGUCGAGUGACUCUGCGCCGAAAAUGUACCGGGGCUAAACGUAUCACCGAAGCUGUGGAUUGACAUCUUAGAUGUCAGUGGUAGGAGAGCGUUCUAAGGGCGUUGAAGCUAGACCGUAAGGACUGGUGGAGCGCUUAGAAGUGAGAAUGCCGGUAUGAGUAGCGAAAGAUGAGUGAGAAUCUCAUCCACCGAAUGCCUAAGGUUUCCUGAGGAAGGCUCGUCCGCUCAGGGUUAGUCGGGACCUAAGCCGAGGCCGAAAGGCGUAGGCGAUGGACAACAGGUUGAUAUUCCUGUACCACCUCUUUAUCGUUUGAGCAAUGGGGGGACGCAGGAGGAUAGGGUAAGCGCGCUGUUGGAUAUGCGCGUCUAAGCAGUUAGGCUGAGAAGUAGGCAAAUCCGCUUCUCACUAAGGCUGAGCUGUGAUAGCGAGGGAAAUUUAGUACCGAAGUUCCUGAUUCCACACUGCCAAGAAAAGCCUCUAGCGAGAUAAAUGGUGCCCGUACCGCAAACCGACACAGGUAGGCGAGGAGAGAAUCCUAAGGUGAGCGAGAGAACUCUCGUUAAGGAACUCGGCAAAAUGACCCCGUAACUUCGGGAGAAGGGGUGCUUUUUGAGGUGAAUAGCCUCGAAGAGCCGCAGUGAAUAGGCCCAGGCGACUGUUUAGCAAAAACACAGGUCUCUGCGAAGCCGCAAGGCGAAGUAUAGGGGCUGACGCCUGCCCGGUGCUGGAAGGUUAAGAGGAGGGGUUAGCGCAAGCGAAGCUCUGAAUCGAAGCCCCAGUAAACGGCGGCCGUAACUAUAACGGUCCUAAGGUAGCGAAAUUCCUUGUCGGGU